AAUUUAGGUAGUUUUCUUUUCACCAACAAUUUUUUUUCAAUAAGGAUAAAUUUGAAGGUGAAGAAUUUUGAGAACUCAACAACAAUAGAUAUAGCAGGCAGUGGUGAGAUCAAAGGAAUCUUGAAUAUGGAAAGCUAUGAACUUUUGAAGGUAUGUAUGAAUAUGACUAAUGUAAGCUCUCUAUUCUUGUAGUAGAUGCAAAGCUUUCAUGCUUACAACUUUGAAGCCAUUUUUUUCUAUAGCAACAGCUUAUGUUUCUUUUUACCUCUGAAUUACAAAACUUACAAUUUCCAUCACUACUAUUCAACAAGCGGGAGUUCCUUUGAACAUUCAUGACAGAGAUAAAGCAUUUCCAAUUUCAUCAUGUUGAAUAUUUGGUUUUGAAAAUGCUUAGUAUUUACAUUGGUAGUGACAAAGCUGGUUGUUAUUGCAUCGCAAUUGACCCAACAGGCAGGUAUGUUUCUUGUGUUUGUCAUCUUUGGUCCUGCAAAUCACAGUUGAAUAAGCAAUCAAAGUUGCAUAACUGCAUAUUGUUAUUUCUGUCAUCAUUUUUUCUUAGAAAGUAUAAUGGAUUAACAAAUUAUAUAUCCUCAUUAUAUUGAGACAGGAAUUUCGACGUUGGAAGUGCUGCUUCCCUUGUAAGCUUAUGGGUUAUCUCAGAGAAAAGACACAAAUUGCUAAGGUUUCUCCAAAGCAUGUCUGCAAAUAUUGGAUGAAUGGCGAUUGUGUUCGUGGUGAACAUUGCCGGAAUUUAUAUUCCUGGUUUUAUGGUGAUGGCUUUGCCACAUUAGUAAAGCUUCAAGGACACAAGAAGGCAUGGAAUAUGCAAACUGCUUCACAUUUAACUCUCGAUGGACCUAAGGGACGAGUCCUUGCCAUGGUUGUUGGCAAUGAUACACUCUUAGCUGGAGCAGAGAUUAUUGAAAUCGCAUGAUGGUGUAAUUUUUGCAUGGAGAGGCCGUUCUAAAUCCAAUUCCCCUUUUGAACUGGUUGCAUCACUACGCGGACACACUAAAUCUGUUGUUUGCCUGGCUGUUGGAUGUAACAAGAUGUUGUACUCAAGAUCCAAGGAUCAAAGCAUCAAGGUUUGGGACCUAGACAAAUUUGAGUGUAAAAUGAAACUCAAUGCGCAUACAGGAGAAGUCACAUCCCUUAUUUGUUGGGACAAAUUCUUGCUAUCCGGUUCAUCAGACUGCACUAUCAAGGUCUGGUAUAAAACCGUCGAGGAUACUUUGGAAGUUGCAUAUUCACACAAUGUAGAAAACAUUUUUUAACAUUUUUUAAGAAAUUAGAGGUUUGUUGUGUGGCUAUGAAUUGCUAUAUAAUGAAUAAUUUUGUAGACUUUGCUUGAGAAGAUGAAGUCGGUGUACACGAAUGUAGAAGGUCUUCCUCCGAAUCGAAUUGUCGAAAGCAAUUGCUUCUCCAGGGCGUGGUAUUUUGGCCAUGGAUGAAUCCAAUGCUACAUGUGGAAAGCGGUUGGAUUCAAUUGGACUAGAGAACACCGAAGCUAACUGUCAAGUAUGGCGUAAAAUUAUAUAUGAAGAAAGUGU
Vicia villosa (hairy vetch) is the source of this 1550-nucleotide long non-coding RNA. RefSeq lists it as uncharacterized. The record is from RefSeq and is a predicted model, not a curated record. The transcript has 5 exons. Lineage: Eukaryota; Viridiplantae; Streptophyta; Magnoliopsida; Fabales; Fabaceae.